This 323-nucleotide ribosomal RNA is filed under the name Cercozoa sp. RNAcentral describes it as "SSU rRNA". The stretch from base 55 to 323 matches the Rfam family "Eukaryotic small subunit ribosomal RNA", at positions 685 to 955 of the family's 1831-position model. Lineage: Eukaryota; Cercozoa. The record is from RNAcentral.
GAUUUCUGGUUAGUCACACCGGCCCGCUGGCUUCGGUUGGUGAGUGUUGGUGUGUACUAUCCAUCCUUCUAGAUUGCUGUGCGUGCCGUUUACUCGGUUGCGCGCAUGCGGUCUAGAUCUUUUACUUUGAAAAAAUUAGAGUGUUUAAAGCAGGCUUACGCUGUGAAUACAUUAGCAUGGAAUAAUAAUAUAGGACUUUGUUUCUAUUUUGUUGGUUUCUAGGAAUGAAGUAAUGAUUGAUAGGGAUAAUUGGGGGUGCUAGUAUUCAGCGGCCAGAGGUGAAAUUCUUGGAUUCGCUGAAGACUAACUACUGCGAAAGCAUU